UUACAGAGUUGAAAAACUCCAACCCCUGUGAACAUACCUUUACUGUUGCUUCGGCGGACGAUGGUCCCCCCCGGGGGGCCGGACGCCGCCGGAGGUUACAAACCCUGAAUUUUAGUGUAUCUCUGAGUACAAAACCAAAUAAUUAAAACUUUCAACAACGGAUCUCUUGGUUCUGGCAUCGAUGAAGAACGCAGCGAAAUGCGAUAAGUAAUGUGAAUUGCAGAAUUCAGUGAAUCAUCGAAUCUUUGAACGCACAUUGCGCCCGCCGGUAUUCCGGCGGGCAUGCCUGUCCGAGCGUCAUUUCACCACUCAAGCCCAGCUUGGUGUUGGGGCACCCGGCCGCCCGGCGGUCGGGGCCCCCAAGAACAUCGGCGGUCUCGCUAGGACCCUGAACGCAGUAACUCGCGGUAAAACGCGCUUCGUUCGGUGGCUUCCCGGCGGGCUCCAGCCGCUAAACCCCCUAAACUUUUUAGGUUGACCUCGGAUCAGGUAGGAAUACCCGCUGAACUUAAGCAUAUCAAUAAGCGGAGGAAAAGAAACCAACAGGGAUUGCCCUAGUAACGGCGAGUGAAGCGGCAACAGCUCAAAUUUGAAAUCUGGCCCCAGGCCCGAGUUGUAA
RNAcentral lists this ribosomal RNA (619 nucleotides) under fungal sp. RNAcentral describes it as "eukaryotic LSU rRNA". The stretch from base 147 to 300 matches the Rfam family "5.8S ribosomal RNA". The record is from RNAcentral. Lineage: Eukaryota; Fungi.